RNAcentral lists this long non-coding RNA (426 nucleotides) under Homo sapiens (human). RNAcentral describes it as "HSALNT0375480". The record is from RNAcentral. Lineage: Eukaryota; Metazoa; Chordata; Mammalia; Primates; Hominidae.
AUGAAAUCAGAAGAUCGAGACCAGCCUGACCAACAUGGAUUCCAGGUCUUGGCAACCUUUGAAAUUCCAAUUCCAUUUGAGAGAGCUUUGAUGAGGCCAUAUGCUGAUUUCACCACCAGCAACUUCACAACCCAGUACUGGAAUGCCAUCAGCCAGCAGGCCCCUGUCAUCACCUGUGACUUCUAUCUGUGGCUCACUGGAAGGAAACCCAGUGCCAGGGCCUGUGCAUGCCAGACAAGGCCAAGAUGGCUCAAAGAGCAACCAGCCACCUCAGCAACCUGCCACCUCCUGCUGGCAGGAUUUGUUUUUGCAACCUGUGAAGAGUCAAGGAGGCACAAAGGCAUAAGUCUACUCACUUAUAUCUGUUUGUCUGGAACAUAACCCAUGUUUGUUUUUACAACAAAUAAAAUUGAUCUUGAAUAAAAA